UGAAAAUGGUUGUUGUUGUUGUUGUUGAUGAUGAUGUCUUUUCGUACAAUUCUUUCUUGUACAUACUGAAUAUAUUCACGAGUAUAAAUAUCAUCGAUAAAAGUUAGUAUUUUAGCAAUAUUUUAUGUUUCUAUUUUAUUUUCUUGUUAUGAUCUAAUGUAUGUACAAGUAUUAAUAUCUCCCGAUUUCAACAAUUUUUUUAUCUCUAAUCUACAAAUUAAAAAUGAGGAGAGCUAGUUUUGCUUCGAAAUGCACUAGCAGAUCAUAUAUGCAUUACGAAAUCACUUUAUG
Molecule: long non-coding RNA, 291 nt
Filed under: Brassica napus (rape)
Lineage: Eukaryota; Viridiplantae; Streptophyta; Magnoliopsida; Brassicales; Brassicaceae
Description: long non-coding RNA (BNAP_LNC003019)
Source: RNAcentral